Molecule: ribosomal RNA, 225 nt
Filed under: uncultured bacterium
Lineage: Bacteria
Description: partial 16S ribosomal RNA
Rfam family: Bacterial small subunit ribosomal RNA
Source: RNAcentral
AGAGUUUGAUCAUGUCUCAGGACGAACGCUGGCGGCGCGCCUAACACAUGCAAGUCGAACGAGCGAGAGAGAGCUUGCUUUCUCGAGCGAGUGGCGAACGGGUGAGUAACGCGUGAGGAACCUGCCUCAAAGAGGGGGACAACAGUUGGAAACGACUGCUAAUACCGCAUAAGCCCACGGCUCGGCAUCGAGCAGAGGGAAAAGGAGCAAUCCGCUUUUAGAUGC